This is a long non-coding RNA of Etheostoma spectabile (orangethroat darter), 100 nucleotides long. RefSeq lists it as uncharacterized. The transcript has 4 exons. The record is from RefSeq and is a predicted model, not a curated record. NCBI's taxonomy places the organism in Eukaryota, Metazoa, Chordata, Actinopteri, Perciformes, Percidae.
AUGUAAACCAUUGAGAACUUUGUAAGUGUACCGACAGUUUAUUAAAAGUAGAUUAUAAAGACAGUAGCGUUCACGUUUGAACGGUCGAACGACCAACGGC